This 496-nucleotide ribosomal RNA is filed under the name uncultured bacterium. Its description in RNAcentral is "partial 16S ribosomal RNA". It matches the Rfam family "Bacterial small subunit ribosomal RNA", at positions 29 to 507 of the family's 1533-position model. The record is from RNAcentral.
AUGCACGCUGGCGGCGUGCCUAAUACAUGCCAGUCGAGCGCACAGACGAGGAGCUUGCUCCUCUGACGUUAGCGGCGGACGGGUGAGUAACACGUGGAUAACCUACCUAUAAGACUGGGAUAACUUCGGGAAACCGGAGCUAAUACCGGAUAAUAUAUUGAACCGCAUGGUUCCAUAGUGAAAGACGGUUUUGCUGUCACUUAUAGAUGGAUCCGCGCCGCAUUAGCUAGUUGGUAAGGUAACGGCUUACCAAGGCGACGAUGCGUAGCCGACCUGAGAGGGUGAUCGGCCACACUGGAACUGAGACACGGUCCAGACUCCUACGGGAGGCAGCAGUAGGGAAUCUUCCGCAAUGGGCGAAAGCCUGACGGAGCAACGCCGCGUGAGUGAUGAAGGUCUUCGGAUCGUAAAACUCUGUUAUUAGGGAAGAACAAAUGUGUAAGUAACUAUGCACGUCUUGACGGUACCUAAUCAGAAAGCCACGGCUAACUACGUG